AUCAGGUAGAUGAGUGAUUUUCCUUGAUUAAAGGAACAAAAAUGUAAUUGGUUCUCUCCCCCUGCUGAGAUUUAAGGAAAAGCAGCCACUGAACACAGGUUGUGAUAGCUCGUUCCUGCCUGAAGCAAAGUCGUGAUGGCACCGGUGAGACGGACAGUAUAAACUGUGAAGGCAGCUCUGUAAGGUGCUGCUGAGAAGGCUAAGGCCAGCAGCCAUCAACCUAGGAAGAGAGAACAUGAGAUGGGAUGUACCAGAAAUGUGAAAAGAAAGGAAGAACAGACUGGCAUGUUUUGAAGCCUUCUCAAGGUAACUUAUCUACAAAUUAUGAAAGUGUCCCUUGUGAUAUGAGACUCCC
Molecule: long non-coding RNA, 355 nt
Organism: Nothoprocta perdicaria
Lineage: Eukaryota; Metazoa; Chordata; Aves; Tinamiformes; Tinamidae
Exons: 3
Source: RefSeq, a predicted model, not a curated record